This is a long non-coding RNA of Leopardus geoffroyi (Geoffroy's cat), 2415 nucleotides long. RefSeq lists it as uncharacterized. The transcript is spliced from 2 exons. Lineage: Eukaryota; Metazoa; Chordata; Mammalia; Carnivora; Felidae. The record is from RefSeq and is a predicted model, not a curated record.
AUUGUUAUUACAAUUUGCUUGAAAUGUCGUUUUCCAUUCCUUUACUCUCAGUCUAUGUUUUUAUGCUCUAUUUUGUGGCAAGGCGCUGUUCAAACUCUGAGGAUAGGGAUGGGGGCAGGAGGGUAAGGUAUGUGCCAUUUUUUUUGACAAGAGUUUUACAGGGUUUACUGGCUGGUUUGUUCUUCCUAAGUGAGGCUAUAGGGUGGUCUCCAUGGUUGCCUGGAUUUUUCUGAUCAGGUUUAUUGGAUGGUCAGGACUGGGUUAUUAUAUUCAGUAGUGCAUGGAGCCAUUCAUUAGAUUCCUUUUCCAGGCAGGGAACAGGAUAGGACCCAUGGCCUGUACAGCUCAUUAUCUGGGGACUCAAACCAGGCCAAAAUGUUUACUGAAUUCCCUGGUCAAGUGAGACCACCAAUUUUGUUCUGCAGAUGGGAGAAACCUUGGGCUAUGCUCUACGGGCUGUGAAGCUUCCUUUGUGCUCAGGUUAGGCUUCCCGAUUGGACAGGUUGAAGGCUGUAUUCAGUGAUGAACUGGGCUAGUUUCCCUGCCUCAUCAUAGAAGGAAAAGCAGCUCUAAAACCAAUAAAGCUCUUUGUUUUCUUAAUUCAAACCGACCUGCAUCCCAAGUUCCCUGAUUGAACAGGCCCAUUAGUUUUGUUCUGCAAACUAUCAGCUGAAGCAUAAUAUAUUUAUUUAUUUUUUAUAAACCUUCCAUUUUCCAACAAGAAUUUAGGUGACUUACAAGGGAUUUUAUUUGUGAAAAUGUUUGAUGGAAGUUAAUUAAGAGUAUUAAGUGACUGGAAGUCUCAAAAAUCCCGGAGUAGAUAAUUAUUCCCCAUGCAUCAUCUGCUGGGUAAUAUGGGAUUUCUCUUGUUUAUAAAAGAUAAAAAUAAAAAAAAGGCUGCAUUCUAAAAGGUUUCACAUUAGAGAAAAACUUCCAUUUUUCUCCUUCAUGUAUCAGUUUUUAAUUUCCACUAAUGUUUUUAUAUUAUUUGGUCAAUUAGCUGUCAGAAUUUUUUAGAGGUAAAGAAAGCUACAUGUUUCUGAUUCUGAUGGGUACUGGAUUCAAUGUUACAUGCAAAUAAGUUUGAGCUAAUAGAUCUUUGCAUUUUACACAUUGCUGAAGAGCAUAGAAUGUAAUUAGGUCUCCCUUUUAUAUGGUUGCAGCUUGUCCCUUUACUAAAUCAAUUGUCUUUGCUACUCACUUAAUGUCAUUUUCUCUACUGUCUUCAGUGUUUCUUUCCAACCUAGAGUGAGACUUUUACUCUAGCUUUGAUGAAAUACAAGAAGUGGAACUUGUUGGUCAAAACGCUGGACAAAACAGAUGGAGAAGCAAAGAAGUAUGUGACAUAAGACAUGCAGAAAUUUGGAUCUCUCCAAUUAAUCAUGGUUCACAGCUGACAAAAAGAGAUAAACUCCCAAGUUCCAUGCAGAAACCUCAUACUAUCUUCAAACCAAAAUCAAACCAAAAAUUAUACCAACUGAAUAUUAAAGCCAAGACUUUUUUCAUUGUGAACUUGGGUGACUAAAUCUAAGAAUGGACUGAUAAACAUUGCUGAGUGGUACACAUUGGAUGAAAUCAUUACCCUACCAUCAUCACUAAGAAAUGACAAUGCUGUCACCUGCAAGCAGGCCAUGAAAUGAUGGUGAGUAAUCACUGUAACCUCUCUCUCCUGGGUACUUUAUAUGUGCUAAAGUUCAUUUUACCCUCACAUCAGAUGAUGAAGUGACCACUUUAUACACCUUUUACAGAUAGGAAAGCUGAGGUUUAAAGUGUUAAAUCGAUUUCACAAAUUACUGAGCUGACAAAUGUAAGCUCUGAUAUCGGAAUCCAUACCAGAAAUUUGGUUCUAUGAGAAUCAGGAGCAUAUUCUCUGAACAUGAAAUUCAGAGACACAAAUAUUUCUUAAAUAUGAUAAAGAGUUUAGAAGAAUUUGGUCUGUUAAAUAUUGGAAUGGGGUGCCUCUAGGGGAUUGUUUCUUUCUUUCUGGAGAUAAUAAUGGAGUGGUUGGGUAAUUUAUAUUCAGUGAUUUUACAGAGAGGGAUUCAGAUGUUGGAUAGGGCUUGAGAGUAUGUUUUUUUCAUUGUCUUCACUCUAUGAUCCAUGAUUUUAUCCCAUGAAACAUUUCCUGAUGUUUUAAGUUUUCUGAGGUCAAGGGGGAUUGUGUUUACUAUUAUUAUGCUUAUUAUUGUCUUCACUGACACCAGUCAUCAUUUUUAAGACAAGCCCAAAAGGGUAAGACUUUAAAUUAUUAUGUCUUUGCUAAUGUACAAUUUAAAGGGACGUUUAUUUGCUAUAUAAUUUUGAGGAAAAGGUCAAUUGUUUCUUUCUUUUUGAGGAACUAGUUACUGCCAUGAAAUUGGUAAAUUGGUAAUAUUUGUAUCUAUAGAAGGUAAAUAAAUUUUUCAAGGGAUUAAA